AUUGAACGCUGGCGGCAUGCCUUACACAUGCAAGUCGAACGGUAACAGGUUAAGCUGACGAGUGGCGAACGGGUGAGUAAUAUAUCGGAACGUGCCCAGUCGUGGGGGAUAACGUAGCGAAAGCUACGCUAAUACCGCAUACGAUCUACGGAUGAAAGCGGGGGAUCGCAAGACCUCGCGCGAUUGGAGCGGCCGAUAUCAGAUUAGGUUGUUGGUGAGGUAAAAGCUCACCAAGCCUGCGAUCUGUAGCUGGUCUGAGAGGACGACCAGCCACACUGGAACUGAGACACGGUCCAGACACCUACGGGAGGCAGCAGUGGGGAAUUUUGGACAAUGGACGCAAGUCUGAUCCAGCAAUGCCGCGUGCAGGACGAAGGCCUUCGGGUUGUAAACUGCUUUUGUACGGAACGAAACGGUGAGCUCUAAUACAGUUCGCUAAUGACGGUACCGUAAGAAUAAGCACCGGCUAACUACGUGCCAGCCGCCGCAGUAA
Molecule: ribosomal RNA, 493 nt
Filed under: uncultured bacterium
Lineage: Bacteria
Description: partial 16S ribosomal RNA
Rfam family: Bacterial small subunit ribosomal RNA
Source: RNAcentral